GAGGGUUUGGCCGAGUGGUUAAGGCGCCAUGUUUAGGAACUAGUAAUCGUUUUUAGUACUUUUCCAGAAACGAUUUCGAAACUUAAGAUCCGUGGUAUCAUUGCGAUGCGCGGGUUCGAAUCCCGCAUCCCUCA
Transfer RNA from Pachysolen tannophilus NRRL Y-2460, 134 nucleotides. It matches the Rfam family "tRNA". Rfam says of the family: Transfer RNA (tRNA) molecules are approximately 80 nucleotides in length. Their secondary structure includes four short double-helical elements and three loops (D, anti-codon, and T loops). Further hydrogen bonds mediate the characteristic L-shaped molecular structure. tRNAs have two regions of fundamental functional importance: the anti-codon, which is responsible for specific mRNA codon recognition, and the 3' end, to which the tRNAs corresponding amino acid is attached (by aminoacyl-tRNA synthetases). tRNAs cope with the degeneracy of the genetic code in two manners: having more than one tRNA (with a specific anti-codon) for a particular amino acid; and 'wobble' base-pairing, i.e. permitting non-standard base-pairing at the 3rd anti-codon position. Lineage: Eukaryota; Fungi; Ascomycota; Pichiomycetes; Alaninales; Pachysolenaceae. The record is from Rfam.